CGGCGGCGGCGACAGCGGCCCCCAGACGUCCUCCUCGCGGCUCGCGGCGGCUCGCGGCUCACAAGGUCGGAGCGGGGCGCGCCGGAGAGAGAGGCCACCGGAGAGAGGCCACCGGGACGCGCCGCCCGAGAGCCAGAGCCACAGCAGAGCGCAGCGGGCGUGGCCCCUCGGGCUGUGGGAACCGCGGGGCGGGGGCGCCUUAUCGCCUACGCCGGAGCGUCGCAGGCCUGGAGACGCCUGCCCUCGUCACCCUCCUCCCGGGGCCCCACCCCUGUCGAAACUCCGCUGGGUUCCCAGCGGGGUAAAGGAAGCUCCUCGCCCCGGGCCUCCUGAGAGCUGGGGACGGCCGCGCCCUCCUGCUCCGGAGAGGACUGGGGAUCCACCGAGGAGCCACUCCUGUCGCCGAGGAUGCGGGGCGCGCGGCCAGGGGAGGCAGGGGGCCAGCGCGUGCUGUUGAAGGACCCCACCGAGGGCCAGAGGUGGGCUGAGGAGACACUGGGAGCCCGCAGGCCUGCAGACCAGAUAUGGCCGGAGUCCCUCGUGGGAUGGCCGGCUGCCCUGAUGGUGCGGACAUGUACACUCUAGGGUGAUGAAGAUAAACACAUUCCACAGCAACCUGUGUUCCUGCGACCGGUCGCGCUUUUCCCCCGGGGCCGUCCCCCUGGUCUGACCCUCCCAAGCCAAUCUCCCUUCCCUUCCCUCCCCAGACAAGCAGGAAUGUGAGGGCAUCCCAGACUCUCCCCAGUGCCCGGUCCCUCUGCUCUUGCCGCCAGCUUUCUCAUUGCUGGGGAGAAGGACACCUCUGGGGUGCAGGCAGGAGCAGGCUGCUGGGCCAGACACUGAAGGACCCCAUUCCAGUGGCUCUGGCUUCCUCCUGCUGCGUGCGCCCUUUCCGGGCUGGAGGUUGUGGGCUGCUGCUGGGGGGGGGGGGCUGUAGAGAGGCAGAAGACCUCACCCCACUUUCCCUCCCUGCCUUGGUCCUGGGGGCUGAGCCCACAGUGGGACAAACCCCAGCCCUGCCACCCACAAGCAGGUGACACUGGCGAGUCCCUUGUGCUUUGGGAAUACCUUCCUCUUCCUCUUCAUCUUCCUCUGCACGGGCUGCAGAGAGCUUGUCUGGGGCAGAGCUAGCGGUGGGACUGUCAGUAGGGAGGGGCCUGGAGGAUCCCUGUGAAGCAAACUGGAAAGCCCUGGAGGUCCCUGGGGCUGCUGGGAGGACAGGCGGCCCCUACUCAGCAGACAGCUGACUGGAACUUCCGGGCACCACAUCCUGCUGCACGCCCAGCCUCCCUGUCUCUCCAGACAGAAGAUGGGGAAGGUCCCAUGUCCAUUCCUUUGGGUCAGGGAGACCCUGGCCAGGGUCCACUUCCCCCGCCCCCACCGACUCAGCUCCCCUAGGAGAUGUGACUGGGGGAGGCUUCGACGUCCUGUACUUGGCUUCCUCUGCCCCUCUUCGUGGUGCCGGGACACCAUCAGCCUACUCGGCCCUGGAUGACUGGCCAGCUGUCUGCCGAGGCUCCCCUGCAAGUCUCACGUUGGGGAGCUCCUCAGUGCUGGGUGAGCUGUGAGGACGGGCCUCCUCACCCUGGACUAGCGCAUGGUGCACAUCACUCUCCCCGCUCAGACACUGACCAACUCCUUUCCCAUGGGAGGAAAGCCUGUCUCUCUGAAGCCCGAUUCUCCUGGUCGUCAUUAAAGUUGCUCAGCCAGUAUGCUCAGUUGGUGACUCACUCAACGCAGAGGCCCAGGCUGGAACACGGAGGAGCUGGAAUCUGCGCCUGUCUUCGGCAGCAGCUUGCGGCAAGGGAGAAGAGCUUGGAAAGGAGGGCCCACCCUGCACCUGUGGCUUUGGGAGGCAGGCAGUGCCUCCCUGCCCAGGGGAGCCGAGCCUCGGCCCCUCCCAGGAGUGCCCUGUGUCUGAGUCCAUGCAGGGCCGCGC
Heterocephalus glaber (naked mole-rat) is the source of this 1939-nucleotide long non-coding RNA. NCBI's taxonomy places the organism in Eukaryota, Metazoa, Chordata, Mammalia, Rodentia, Bathyergidae. The record is from Ensembl.